UCCGGUAUGGUGUAACGGCUAACAUUGCCGCCUUUCAAACACAUCGCGGCAGCUCGGGGUUCGAUUCCCCGUACCGGAA
Molecule: transfer RNA, 79 nt
Organism: Cylindrobasidium torrendii FP15055 ss-10
Lineage: Eukaryota; Fungi; Basidiomycota; Agaricomycetes; Agaricales; Physalacriaceae
Rfam family: tRNA
About the family: Transfer RNA (tRNA) molecules are approximately 80 nucleotides in length. Their secondary structure includes four short double-helical elements and three loops (D, anti-codon, and T loops). Further hydrogen bonds mediate the characteristic L-shaped molecular structure. tRNAs have two regions of fundamental functional importance: the anti-codon, which is responsible for specific mRNA codon recognition, and the 3' end, to which the tRNAs corresponding amino acid is attached (by aminoacyl-tRNA synthetases). tRNAs cope with the degeneracy of the genetic code in two manners: having more than one tRNA (with a specific anti-codon) for a particular amino acid; and 'wobble' base-pairing, i.e. permitting non-standard base-pairing at the 3rd anti-codon position.
Source: Rfam